ACGGGUACUUGUACUUGGUGGCGAGCGGCGGACGGGUGAGUAAUGACUAGGAAUCUGCCUAGUAGUGGGGGAUAACGUGCGGAAACGGGCGCUAAUACCGCAUACGUCAUACGGGAGAAAGUGGGGGAUCUUCGGACCUCACGCUAUUAGGUGAGCCUAGGUCGGAUUAGCUAGUUGGUGAGGUAAUGGCUAACCAAGGCGACGAUCCGUAACUGGUCUGAGAGGAUGAUCAGUCACACUGGAACUGAGACACUGUCCAGACUCCUACGGGAGGCAGCAGUGGGGAAUA
This 289-nucleotide ribosomal RNA is filed under the name Pseudomonas protegens. RNAcentral's name for it is "partial 16S ribosomal RNA". It matches the Rfam family "Bacterial small subunit ribosomal RNA", at positions 72 to 363 of the family's 1533-position model. The record is from RNAcentral. Lineage: Bacteria; Pseudomonadati; Pseudomonadota; Gammaproteobacteria; Pseudomonadales; Pseudomonadaceae.